Molecule: ribosomal RNA, 1421 nt
Filed under: uncultured prokaryote
Description: partial 16S ribosomal RNA
Rfam family: Bacterial small subunit ribosomal RNA
Source: RNAcentral
AACGAACGCUGGCGGCGCGCCUAACACAUGCAAGUCGAGCGAUUAAAGCUCCUUCGGGAGUAUAUAAAGCGGCGGACGGGUGAGUAAGGCAUAGACAACCUGCCCUAAAGAGGGGGAUAGCUUGGAGAAAUUCGGGUUAAUACCGCGUAAGCUGUUUGAGGGAUAUCAACCAGUAAAGGCUUCGGCCGCUUUGGGAUGGGUCUAUGUUAGAUUAGAUAGUUGGUGGGGUAACGGCCUACCAAGUCGACGAUCUAUAACUGGUCUGAGAGGAUGAUCAGUCACACUGGAACUGAGACACGGUCCAGACUCCUACGGGAGGCAGCAGUGAGGAAUUUUGCGCAAUGGGCGAAAGCCUGACGCAGCGACGCCGCGUGGAGGACGAAGUCUUUCGAGAUGUAAACUCCUGUCAGUGGGGAUGAUAAUGACAGUACCCACAGAGGAAGCACCGGCUAACUCCGUGCCAGCAGCCGCGGUAAGACGGAGGGUGCAAGCGUUGUUCGGAUUUUCUGGGCGUAAAGCGUACGUAGGCGGGCCUUUAAGUCAGUGGUGAAAUCCUGCAGCUUAACUGUAGAACUGCCAUUGAUACUGAAGGCCUUGAGUAUAGUUGAGGUAGGCGGAAUGUGUAAUGUAGCGGUGAAAUGCUUAGAUAUUACACAGAACACCGAUUGCGUAGGCAGCUUACUAAGCUAUAACUGACGCUGAUGCACGAAAGCGUGGGGAGCGAAACAGGAUUAGAUACCCUGGUAGUCCACGCCGUAAACGAUGAUCACUCGUUGUUGGCGAUACACAGUCAGCGACUGAGCGAAAGCAUUAAGUGAUCCACCUGGGGAGUACGGUCGCAAGAUUGAAACUCAAAGGAAUUGACGGGGGCCCGCACAAGCGGAGGAACAUGUGGUUUAAUUCGAUAAUACGCGAGGAACCUUACCUGUUAAAAUGUAGAGUGCAUAAACGGGAAACUGUUUUUUCCUUCGGGACUCUUUACAAGGUGCUGCAUGGUUGUCGUCAGCUCGUGCCGUGAGGUGUCGGGUUAAGUCCCAUAACGAGCGCAACCCCUAUCGUUAGUUGCCAGCGAGUCAAGUCGGGGACUCUAACGAGACUGCCGGUGUAAACCGCGAGGAAGGUGGGGAUGACGUCAAAUCAGCACGGCCCUUACGUCCAGGGCUACACACGUGUUACAAUGGCCGAUACAAAGGGCAGCUACCAGGUGACUGGAUGCUAAUCUCUAAAGUCGGUCUUAGUUCGGAUCGAAGUCUGCAACUCGACUUCGUGAAGCUGGAUUCGCUAGUAAUCGUAUAUCAGCCAUGAUACGGUGAAUACGUGCCCGGGCCUUGUACACACCGCCCGUCAAGCCAUGGAAGCUGGGGGUACCUGAAGUCUGUCACCGCAAGGAGCGGCCUAGGGUAAAACUGGUAACUGGUGUU